AAUAGAUACCCGGGUAGUCCACGCCGUAAACGAUGAGUGCUAAGUGUUAGAGGGUUUCCGCCCUUUAGUGCUGCAGCUAACGCAUUAAGCACUCCGCCUGGGGGGUACGGCCGCAAGGCUGAAACUCAAAGGAAUUGACGGGGGCCCGCACAAGCGGUGGAGCAUGUGGUUUAAUUCGAAGCAACGCGAAGAACCUUACCAGGUCUUGACAUCCUCUGCCAACCCUAGAGAUAGGGCGUUCCCCUUCGGGGGACAGAGUGACAGGGGGUGCAUGGUUGUCGUCAGCUCGUGUCGUGAGAUGUUGGGUUAAGUCCCGCAACGAGCGCAACCCUUGAUCUUAGUUGCCAGCAUUCAGUUGGGCACUCUAAGGUGACUGCCGGUGACAAACCGGAGGAAGGUGGGGAUGACGUCAAAUCAUCAUGCCCCUUAUGACCUGGGCUACACACGUGCUACAAUGGAUGGUACAAAGAGCUGCGAACCCGCGAGGGUAAGCGAAUCUCAUAAAGCCAUUCUCAGUUCGGAUUGUAGGCUGCAACG
This 537-nucleotide ribosomal RNA is filed under the name uncultured bacterium. RNAcentral's name for it is "bacterial SSU rRNA". It matches the Rfam family "Bacterial small subunit ribosomal RNA", at positions 777 to 1312 of the family's 1533-position model. The record is from RNAcentral.